RNAcentral lists this unclassified non-coding RNA (1353 nucleotides) under uncultured Neocallimastigales. RNAcentral's name for it is "partial contains small subunit ribosomal RNA, internal transcribed spacer 1, 5.8S ribosomal RNA, internal transcribed spacer 2, and large subunit ribosomal RNA". The stretch from base 609 to 1353 matches the Rfam family "Eukaryotic large subunit ribosomal RNA", at positions 1 to 617 of the family's 3401-position model. The record is from RNAcentral. Lineage: Eukaryota; Fungi; Neocallimastigomycota; Neocallimastigomycetes; Neocallimastigales.
UUUCCGUAGGUGAACCUGCGGAAGGAUCAUUAAAAAAUAUCACUCGAUUGAGAGUGAUUUAAUAAUCAUCCUACCUUUGUGAAUUUGUUUGUAAUGUUAAAUUUAUGUUGUCUAUCCUUGAAAGUUUGUUCAUUAAUAAACCCAAGGAAUAGGCUUCAUAGACCUUUUUUUUAAAAUUAAACAUUUGUAUUCAUUUGUCUAAAAUUUAUUUUAAAAUAAUUUAAAAACAACUUUUGACAAUGGAUCUCUUGGUUCUCGCAAUGAUGAAGAACGCAGCAAAAUGCGAUAAGUAAUGUGAAUUGCAGAAUACGUGAAUCAUCAAUCUUCGAACGCAUAUUGCACUUUUUAGUUUACUAAAAGUAUGUCUGUUUGAGUAUCAGUAAAUAUUCUCAUAAAAAAAUUUUUUUUUUUUAUGUCAUGAGCGUUUUGCAACGAUAAACAAGUUGUUUCACCUUAAAUUGAUUUUUAAAAGCCAAUUUUUUUGGUUUUUAUCUAAUAAAAUAGGAUAAAAUUUUCCCGUAAAAGGAAUAAACUUUCAGUUUUAAAGGUAAAAAUUGAAAUAUUUAUUGUUGCUUAAUUUAAAAGGAAAAUUUAAUUUAAAAAUAACUUGAUCUCAAAUCAGAUAAGAGUACCGCUGAACUUAAGCAUAUCAAUAAGCGGAGGAAAAGAACUAACAAGGAUUCCUUAGUAACGGCGAGUGAAGCGGGAAGAGCUCAAAUUUGAAAUCUUCAAGUUCUACCUUGACGAAUUGUAGUUUAAAGAAGUGUUUUCUGUUAGAGGAGUAGCAAAAGUUCCUUGGAAUGGACAUCAUAGAGGGUGAGGAUCCCGUAUUUGGUUAUUCUUUCUAGCUUUGUGAUACACUUUCAAAGAGGCGAUGUUUGGGAAUGCAGUCCAAAAUGGGUGGUAAAUUUCAUCUAAAGCUAAUAUUGGCGAGAGACCGAUAGCGAACAAGUACCGUGAGGGAAAGAUGAAAAGAACUUUGAAAGAGAGUUAAACAGUACGUGAAAUUGUCAAAAGGAAGCGUUUGACACCAGUGUUGUUUUUCCGAAAAUCAAUUAAGAAGGGCUUGAUUUGUGUUGUAUUGACCUUAUCAGCUUUCUCCACUCUUUUUCGAGUCUUUCUUAAUGCACUUUCGGUUAACAAGUCAACAUCAAUUUCUUUUGUUGUAAAAGGGUAUUUGGAAGGUGCUUUCUUUUCGGAGAAAGUGUUUAUAGCCUUACACCUCUACAAUCGGAGAGAUUGAGGUCUGCAGCGUAGAUCCUUCGGGCUAGAUACACUUGUGCUAAGUUAUAGCUUUUCAUAGACAACUUGUUGACUAUGUUUAGUCAUGUAGCUUACCCGCUUGUGCUAUUU